UUGAAAUCGCUUCGGCGAGUUGUAAGUAAAGUGGUUAGACGCUUUUUAAUAAGUCCCUUGGAACAGGGCGCCAUAGAGGGUGAUAGCCCCGUAUUAAAUUGUCUAGUGUGCUACUUUAGAGCGAGUCGAGUUGUUUGGGAAUGCAGCUCAAAUAGGUGGUAAACUCCAUCUAAAGCUAAAUAUUGCUGGGAGACCGAUAGCGAACAAGUACAGUGAUGGAAAGAUGAAAAGCACUUUGAAAAGAGAGUGAAAUAGCGUGUGAAAUUGUUGGAGGGGAAGGCGAUGGUAGGAAUAAGAGGCUGCGGUUUGAAAUAAAUGUUUUUCGGGCCACGGUCUCCUGAGCCUGCUUUCGCACCCGUCUUGA
Molecule: ribosomal RNA, 364 nt
Filed under: Magnusiomyces capitatus
Lineage: Eukaryota; Fungi; Ascomycota; Dipodascomycetes; Dipodascales; Dipodascaceae
Description: eukaryotic LSU rRNA
Rfam family: Eukaryotic large subunit ribosomal RNA
Source: RNAcentral